This 467-nucleotide ribosomal RNA is filed under the name uncultured bacterium. RNAcentral describes it as "partial 16S ribosomal RNA". It matches the Rfam family "Bacterial small subunit ribosomal RNA", at positions 28 to 506 of the family's 1533-position model. The record is from RNAcentral.
GACGAACGCUGGCGGCGUGCUUAACACAUGCAAGUCGAACGGAAAGGCCCUGCUUUUGUGGGGUGCUCGAGUGGCGAACGGGUGAGUAACACGUGAGUAACCUGCCCUUGACUUUGGGAUAACUUCAGGAAACUGGGGCUAAUACCGGAUAGGAGCUCCUGCUGCAUGGUGGGGGUUGGAAAGUUGCGGCGGUUGGGGAUGUGCUCGCGGCUUAUCAGCUUGUUGGUGGGGUAGUGGAUUACCAAGGCUUUGACGGGUAGCCGGCCUGAGAGGGUGACCGGCUACAGUGGGACUGGGAUGCCGCCAGGACGCCUACGGGAGGCAGGAGUGGAGAAUAGAGGGCGAAGGGCGGAAGGCUGAUUGAGCAACGCCGCGUGCGAGAUGACUGCCUUCGGGUUGUAAAACGCGUGCAACUGUGUCGGAGCGUGAGUGACGGUAAUGGGCAGAGAAGCACCGGCUAACUACGG